UGUGUAUAUUAUACCUUCUCGAAGAGGCUAAGAGACGCGAUGAGUUGGAAAAAAGACGCCAAAGUCGCAGAAUACGAAACCUUCGGCAAAUAUCAUCCCACCGCGACUACGUCCUAAAUUUCCGACUCACCAGGGACCUCAUAUCUGCAUUGGAAGGAGAUCUUGUACCAUUACUGCCUCCACGAGUACGACGUGGUGGUCUCAGUCAUCAUAUUAAGAUUCUAUGCACUCUAUCAUUUUUGGCCACCGGAAGUUACCAAAACAUAGUUGGAAAGUCACUUUUCAACUAUGUUUCACAGCCAUCUGCUAGCCGGGCUAUUCGUUUAAUAGUCAAUGCCCUUAAUCACCCCAACAUUGUAAAGAAAUACAUAAGAUUUCCACAAAAUCUAAAUGAAAGAGAAAUAAAAAAACAAGGAUUUUACAAUAAGUUUAAAAUGCCCGGUGUAAUUGGCUGUGUUGAUGGGACUUUGGUGGCCAUGGUUCGACCUAAAACAAACGAAGACCGAUACUACUGUAGAAAAGAUAAAUGACUGUGAUCUCAAUAUACUGCAUGUGGACGCUACAUUUGGAGGAGCUACACAUGACAGUUUUAUAUUUAAUAACACCGUUAUCCAGCACCACCUAGAACAGAUAAAUAAUGCAGGAGAGACAGCAUAUUUGUUAGGUGAUUCUGCAUACGGACAGAGGUCCUACCUGAUGACCCCAUGUGCCAACCCCGAGCCUGGUUCUCCAGAAGAAUACUACAAUACUGUGCAUAGCACAGCAAGAAAUAGCGUAGAGAGAACCAUAGGAAUUUUAAAAGGCAGAUUUAGAUGCCUUCUGGUUCAUAGAGUGUUACACUAUGAUCCAGAAAUGGUUUCUAAAAUUGUUAUAGCUUGCUGUGUUUUGCAUAAUAUUUGUAACAGAGCUGGAUUACCAGCCUUCGAGUUACCAUAUAAUUUGCAACAUGAAGAAAUUCGGUUGCAAAGUGAGAGUCAUCACGUAGAGCCUGCUGCAUCUGUAGGCGCUUUGGAGCAUGGUCGCGCUUGUCGCCGGCAACUUAUAAAUAUAUUAUGGCGUGGAAGGCGAUAAAUAUUUAUUUUUUUGCAUGUCUUAGUUAAGGUAGUUAAGAAAUAGUAUUUAUUGAAAUGUUCAUUUUAUUUUAUCAUUAAACUAUAAUAAUAAUACGUCGGUAAACCAACAAUGUCAA
Long non-coding RNA from Aricia agestis (brown argus), 1189 nucleotides. RefSeq lists it as uncharacterized. The transcript is spliced from 5 exons. The record is from RefSeq and is a predicted model, not a curated record. NCBI's taxonomy places the organism in Eukaryota, Metazoa, Arthropoda, Insecta, Lepidoptera, Lycaenidae.